AUAGACUAUCAAAGUCUUAUGUGUAAAAAUUCCAAAUAAAGGAAAAAUAAAUCUAUAACAGGUCCUUGAAUCAGGGCCCAAUUAAAAUGAUAUAAGCAAAUAAGCCUUUACCCAGUUAGUAGCCAGGACUAUAGAAAGUCACCAAAUUAUGAAAGACAGAAAAGGGACUAGAUUAUAGGAGUCAGGUAGGAGCCAAAUUUGAGAUACUUGUUUGUAAGCAUUUUCACAAAGAGUGUGGAUACAAGGAAGGCCUACUACUUAACAUAUGUCAAGCAUCACAACCUUGAGUCCACAUUAAUAUUUCCUAUGUGCUCCUUUUGGCACUAUUCAGGUUUAGCUUUAUGCUUCUGUGGCCUUGUACAAUGACUGUGUUUGUAUUUUUUGUCCUGGAAUUAGACAGAAUCAUUAAGCAAAGUCCCAUAAUUUUCUAAAACAAUCAAUGGCAUCAUUUUUAUAAUCUCAAGAUUUUGGGGCAUGCAUUGACAUUAUAGCAAUCUUCAAUACAGUGAAGAUGUGAUAAGUGAACCACAAUAUAGUGAGGAACAACUGUACAUGAUUGUGACAGAGUAGUAUUAAGCUAUAACAAAUGAUAAGGGGAGGGUGGUUUCAGAAAAAUUAUGUGGUAAGACAUAUUAACUGAUGCAAAAUGAAGUGAAAAGCACUAGGAGAUAUUUGUGCACAGUAACAGCAAUUUUAAUGAUGACCAAUUGUGAAAAACUUGGUUACUUUUAUCAAUACAAUGACCUCAGAUAAUUUCAAAAGACUCAGGAUGAAAAAGUUCUAUCUACUUACAGAAAGAGAACUGAUGCAUUCUGAUCUGAGUUCAAAUUGAAAUAUAAUAUUCUCACUUAAGUUGUUUUUUUUUUGCAGUAUAACUAAUAUGGAAAAAUAUUUUGCUUGGCUUCAUAUGUAUGGUUGGUAUCAUAUUUCUUGCCUUCUUGGAGAAUAGAACAAAAGUACCUGACAGGAAAUUGAAAACCAAGAAUAAAGAACCCUUACAGGAGAAUAUAAGCUCAUUGGAGAAGAGAAUGUUUUAAUUUGGCAUUUUAAUCAUCAAUAUCUACAACAGGGCUUUGGAUAUAUAACAAGUGAUUAAUAAAUAUUUGUUGAAAGAAUGGUUGAAUAAUUU
This 1129-nucleotide long non-coding RNA is filed under the name Monodelphis domestica (gray short-tailed opossum). RNAcentral describes it as "lncRNA (ENSMODG00000031154.2)". Lineage: Eukaryota; Metazoa; Chordata; Mammalia; Didelphimorphia; Didelphidae. The record is from RNAcentral.